GAAGCAUCUCCUUGUAGCGUUCCCAAGCUUCACAUAAAGUUUCACCAGACAACUGAGAGAAUUGAGUGAUAGCAUUCCUGAUUGC
Molecule: small nuclear RNA, 85 nt
Filed under: Daucus carota subsp. sativus
Lineage: Eukaryota; Viridiplantae; Streptophyta; Magnoliopsida; Apiales; Apiaceae
Description: sRNA DCAR_sn00312
Rfam family: Plant small nucleolar RNA R71
About the family: R71 is a member of the C/D box family of snoRNAs containing the C (UGAUGA) and D (CUGA) box motifs. Multiple nearly identical copies of this snoRNA have been identified in Arabidopsis, and it is thought to function as a 2'-O-ribose methylation guide for 18S ribosomal RNA.
Source: RNAcentral